UGCCAGCCGCCGCGGUAAUACGGAGGGUGCAAGCGUUAUCCGGAAUCAUUGGGUUUAAAGGGUCCGCAGGCGGACGUAUAAGUCAGUGGUGAAAUCCUACCGCUCAACGGUAGAACUGCCUUUGAUACUGGCAAACUUGAGUUAUUGUGAAGUAGUUAGAAUGUGUAGUGUAGCGGUGAAAUGCAUGGAUAUUACACAGAAUACCGAUUGCGAAGGCAGGUUACUAACACUAUAUUGACGCUGAGGGACGAAAGCGUGGGGAGCGAACAGGAUUAGAUA
This 279-nucleotide ribosomal RNA is filed under the name uncultured bacterium. RNAcentral's name for it is "partial 16S ribosomal RNA". It matches the Rfam family "Bacterial small subunit ribosomal RNA", at positions 506 to 784 of the family's 1533-position model. The record is from RNAcentral.